Molecule: ribosomal RNA, 320 nt
Filed under: uncultured eukaryote
Lineage: Eukaryota
Description: partial 18S ribosomal RNA
Rfam family: Eukaryotic small subunit ribosomal RNA
Source: RNAcentral
CCCCUAGAUGUUCUGGGCCGCACGCGCGCUACACUGAACAGUUCAACAAGUCUUAACCUUGGCCGAUAGGUCUGGGUAAUCUUUGAACGCUGUUCGUGAUUGGGAUAGACCUUUGCAAUUAUGGGUCUUCAACGAGGAAUUCCUAGUAAACGCAAGUCAUCAGCUUGCAUUGAUUACGUCCCUGCCCUUUGUACACACCGCCCGUCGCACCUACCGAUUGAAUGGUCCGGUGAAAUCUCGGGACGGCGGCUUGGUCUCUUGCGUCCGACUGCUGAAACUUGAUUAAACCAUAUCAUUUAGAGGAAGGUGAANUCGUAACA